CAUUCGUGAUGCAUUUACUGAGAUGCUGGGGGGUCUUUUUAUGAUGAUUCCCUCCAUUACGGUUGCAUUAUACCACAGAGAUACUGGAGUGCCUGUGUAUAUAUGUAUGAAUUCCAGCACCCGCUAAGUGUAUACCAAGAUCUCGGACCCAGCUUUGUGAAAGCUGACCAUGGUGAUGAUACUGGAUGAUACUAUACAGAACCGUCAUGGGAUACUGGGCGAACUCUAUUCGCAUUGGAUCACCAAAUGGUCC
Molecule: long non-coding RNA, 253 nt
Organism: Sinocyclocheilus grahami
Lineage: Eukaryota; Metazoa; Chordata; Actinopteri; Cypriniformes; Cyprinidae
Exons: 3
Source: RefSeq, a predicted model, not a curated record